RNAcentral lists this ribosomal RNA (222 nucleotides) under uncultured Lactobacillus sp. RNAcentral describes it as "partial 16S ribosomal RNA". It matches the Rfam family "Bacterial small subunit ribosomal RNA", at positions 138 to 354 of the family's 1533-position model. The record is from RNAcentral. Lineage: Bacteria; Bacillati; Bacillota; Bacilli; Lactobacillales; Lactobacillaceae.
UCGGGAUAACACCUGGAAACAGAUGCUAAUACCGGAUAACAACAGAUGAUGCCUAUCAACUGUUUAAAAGAUGGUUCUGCUAUCACUCUUGGAUGGACCUGCGGUGCAUUAGCUAGUUGGUAGGGUAACGGCCUACCAAGGCGAUGAUGCAUAGCCGAGUUGAGAGACUGAUCGGCCACAUUGGGACUGAGACACGGCCCAAACUCCUACGGGAGGCAGCAG